RNAcentral lists this ribosomal RNA (253 nucleotides) under uncultured bacterium. RNAcentral describes it as "partial 16S ribosomal RNA". It matches the Rfam family "Bacterial small subunit ribosomal RNA", at positions 524 to 776 of the family's 1533-position model. The record is from RNAcentral.
UACGAGGGGUGCAAGCGUUGCUCGGAAUUAUUGGGCGUAAAGGGUAGGUAGGUGGUCUCAUUUGUCUGGGGUGAAAGCCUUGGGCUUAACUCAAGAAGUGCCCCGGAAACGGUGAGACUGGAGUCCUGCAGAGGAGACUGGAAUUCCCGGUGUAGCGGUGAAAUGUGUAGAGAUCGGGAGGAACACCGGUGGCGAAGGCGGGUCUCUGGGCAUUUCCUGACGCUGAGGCGCGAAAGCGUGGGGAGCAAACGGG